ACCCCUCAGUCCGCAGGCCGACGCUCUAUCCACUGAGCCAAACCGGUUUCGGCAGCUAAUGCUUAUUGAACUUAUCAAGUGCCAGGUGACUUAUUAUGUUCCAGGAAAUGUCCUAAGAAUUAUGCAUAGUUCCUUAUUUAAUCCCUAUAACAACCCCAUGAAAUUGGUGCUACAUUCACCUAUUUUAUGAAUGAGAAAACUGAAUGUCAUACAGGUCUAAAGUCAUAUAGGAAAAACUGGUAGUGCUGGGACUUGAACUCAAGCAUAUAUCACUUCAGAGCUCCCAUUCCUAGACACCAUUCCAUACAUCGUCCCUUAUAUGCACUUGUAGCAGUUUAAAUGUAGAUCCUUAUUGCUGCUUAAGUCUAUGUCAAAGACAUUAAACUUUUAUUCAGCAUUAAAGAUAAACUCUUGUGAAUGCAGAGUACCUGUCACAUGCUAAGCAAUGCAAUUAAAGUAGAAAAUGUCAAUUCUUGUGAUAAGUCGCAGAAUUUUCAAAGUCAGGAGAGACUGUGUGACCCAUUGCAUCAUAAAGAAAAACUAUCCAUUGGAUGCCAAACAUCUGUCAGGAUUUCUAGUUAACUUUUUUUAAAUGCUGUUUAUAUAAAGAGAUGUAUACACAAAAUAGUCAUUGCAGCACUGUUUAUAAUAGGAAAAUCCUAGAUACAAACUAUUACGAGAAAGCUGUUAUAAUAAAUUUUAGUAUACAUGUCUUAUGGAAUAUAUGCAGUGCAGCAAUUAAAAGAAAUGAGGUACAUGUAUAUGUCCUGACAUGGACAAUCUCUAAGAAAUGCUUCAAGUAAAAAAUACAAGAUGCAGAAAACUAAAUAGUAAUGCCAACAUUAGUUAAACUAAAAGGAAGGGAAAAUAGACAGGUGUUUGUGUGACUGAACAUUGAGAGGGACUUUUCCUGUUGUCUUGAAACUGCUGCUGAGGCCCAAAUCUGAUUUAAAAAAAAAAAAAAAAAAGUCCAUAAGAGCCCUGUUCUGCAUUUAAAAAUUGCCAGUGGUUGAAACCAGCUCUAUUACAGCAGGGCGUUUGAAGAGCCAUUACUGUUCUACCAGCCCUUCCACCAACCCCUCCUCCCUACCUAUUCCCCAUUUCCACCUCUCUCCCCACAGACAAACCAUCACCACUACAUGGAAAGAAUGGGAGAUGGGAGGGAAGUCAGCUUUUAGGGAAAAUGAGUGUUCUGUGAAGACCCAUCUUUUCCUCUUCUUUCAUGAGAAUCACUAGUGAACAUUGGGCGUGCCUACAGAAGAAGAGACUGGCAGCCCCCCUCCAAACUACCCCCCUCCUCCCCCCCGCCCCAUAUAUGUUUGUGCAGCAGCAGGCUCUCUGAUCUGCUCUGCCCCAUUGUUUCCUAAGGAAAACACAAAUAGGGAGAGACCGCAUGGCAGGGGCUCUGGAUGGCAUGGUGGGUGGCUCUAGAUGGAGAAGGUCUAAAACUGCCCCCACCAUGUUCACAUAUACCUUGACUUCCCAGUCCUAGAUUGGAGAACAGCAAAGAAAUGUUCAAGCUGGAAGUCAGCUGGAAGAUGCAGCAAAUAUAUGAGGAGUAAUCCAUUCCUAGGGGAGAUUCACGAAAUCACUCCAGGUCACCGUGUCAGAAGAGCAAAGGAGCAUUAGAUGUGAAAACGCUCCACGGAGCUGCAGAGCCCUAUAAAGGUGAGAAAAUGGAGGAUCAAAGAUGACAAGUAACUUGUCAAAGGUAACAUAACAAGGAAGUGGCAGAGCCAGGAUUCCAAAAAGGGGUGUGUGACCCCACAGCCUGCACUCUCCAAUUCACUAGAAUGCCUCCUCUCAAGAGCUCUGGGAGAAGUGUCAUCGGAGAUGAAG
This is a long non-coding RNA of Myotis myotis, 1839 nucleotides long. RefSeq lists it as uncharacterized. The record is from RefSeq and is a predicted model, not a curated record. The transcript is spliced from 3 exons. Lineage: Eukaryota; Metazoa; Chordata; Mammalia; Chiroptera; Vespertilionidae.